Long non-coding RNA from Globicephala melas (long-finned pilot whale), 810 nucleotides. RefSeq lists it as uncharacterized. NCBI's taxonomy places the organism in Eukaryota, Metazoa, Chordata, Mammalia, Artiodactyla, Delphinidae. The record is from RefSeq and is a predicted model, not a curated record.
GCGGGGCCGUCGCUGGGUCUCUGGGGAGGGAGAGGUGGGCUCGGGACGACACACUCAUGUCGGGAGAUGUCCAGCCACAUGCGUGUUAAGGUGAAGGGGCAGGCAAAAAAGAAGAAGGAUUCUUAAAAGUCUCACCAUCCCCCAAAAGAAAUCCCUGGGACCCUGGGGAGAUGGGCCCAGAGAGGCUGCCUGGCCUCCUGCCAGCUGCCCCAGCCAGGGCUCCCCUGGCACAGGGAGAGCUGUGCCUCUGUCCUCCCCAGCCUGGAGCCCCAGGGGCCAGUGACAGGUGGGGCCUGGCCUGGCACUCCACGGGCUGAAGCUGGCAGUGGGCCUGGCUGGGUCCGGAGCAAACUAGAAUAUCCCAGCCGCCCUCCCCUGAGCUGCCACCUAAAACACACCGAGGGCCAAGACCAACUGCAAGGGGCCUCCUGGGAGGCCAGGGCCGGAGUUCAAUCCCGGACGGGGAACCAAAGCACCCCUUUAAGCAGCUUGUCCAGACCACAGAGCAGGGGUCACAGGUUCGAUCCCUGGUCCGGGAAGAUCCCACAUGCCGCGGAGCAGCUAAGCCCGUGCGUCACAACUACUGAGCCUGCGCUCUAGAGCCCACAAGCCACAACUACUGAACUGGCGCGCCUGGAGCCCGUGCUCUGCACCAAGAGAAGCCACCGCAAUGAGAAGCCGGCGCACCGCAACAAAGAGUAGCGCCGCAACUAGAGAAAGCCUGCGCGCAGCAACGAAGACCCAACGCAGCCAAAAAUAAAUAGAUUAAAUAAAUUAAAAAAAGGAAAAAACCCAGGCUUUACAUCAGAC